GGAUAAAGUCAUGGUGAUGAAAUAAUUGUUUCUCAAUGUAAUUGGAGCUGAAGCAGAGAAGAUUCAUGUCUUGUUCUCCCCAACAGAACAUGAAGGAAAUGAAGGAGAGCUAAGAACACAAAGAAUGGCACUUGCAGGAGAGGAAAAAUGUCUAUGUUUAGAAAGAGCAGCAUUUCCCACAGAGUAACCCACAUAUGGAAAGAAGUUCUAACAGAUGAAAAAGAAAUGACUACGAGAAAAUAAUAGAAGUGUGAGAAUCCUCAAGAAGAAAGUCUCACAGACUUAAUUACUGCUACACAGUGAGCUACUGCCACUAGGCGGCAGAAUGAUUCUCUUUGCCAGGGCAACGAGUUAGCUGACUUAAAUUCCUACUAAAAAGCUACAAAAAUGUGUUAAUAAUAUUGUCUGCUGCCCUACAUUUGUCUCUUAAAACCUUUAAAUCUGUAAUGGAAUUGUAAAUGAUUCUGUAAGAAUUGUACACUUGUUAAUGCCAGUCAUACCUGAGAGUUCCUAGAAAAUUUACAUGCAAAGUAUAAAGCAAGCAUAAAAAUGAAGGGAGAGCAGUGGCUAUUGUCUACCUGGACUUCAGUAGGUUCUUUGAUGCUGUCUCCCAGAAAAGCCUCAUACUGGCCAGUGGGGUAGAUUUAAAACUGGCUAAGCCAAUUUGUUCAGAAUGGUCCGUGGUGUG
RNAcentral lists this long non-coding RNA (688 nucleotides) under Coturnix japonica (Japanese quail). RNAcentral describes it as "lncRNA (ENSCJPG00005011474.1)". Lineage: Eukaryota; Metazoa; Chordata; Aves; Galliformes; Phasianidae. The record is from RNAcentral.